This 1195-nucleotide ribosomal RNA is filed under the name human gut metagenome. RNAcentral's name for it is "bacterial SSU rRNA". It matches the Rfam family "Bacterial small subunit ribosomal RNA", at positions 315 to 1520 of the family's 1533-position model. The record is from RNAcentral.
GGAACUGAGACACGGUCCAGACACCUACGGGUGGCAGCAGUCGAGAAUCAUUCACAAUGGGGGAAACCCUGAUGGUGUGACGCCGCGUGGGGGAAUGAAGGUCUUCGGAUUGUAAACCCCUGUCAUGUGGGAGCAAAUUAAAAAGAUAGUACCACAAGAGGAAGAGACGGCUAACUCUGUGCCAGCAGCCGCGGUAAUACAGAGGUCUCAAGCGUUGUUCGGAAUCACUGGGCGUAAAGCGUGCGUAGGCUGUUUCGUAAGUCGUGUGUGAAAGGCGCGGGCUCAACCCGCGGACGGCACAUGAUACUGCGAGACUAGAGUAAUGGAGGGGGAACCGGAAUUCUCGGUGUAGCAGUGAAAUGCGUAGAUAUCGAGAGGAACACUCGUGGCGAAGGCGGGUUCCUGGACAUUAACUGACGCUGAGGCACGAAGGCCAGGGGAGCGAAAGGGAUUAGAUACCCCUGUAGUCCUGGCAGUAAACGGUGCACGCUUGGUGUGCGGGGAAUCGACCCCCUGCGUGCCGGAGCUAACGCGUUAAGCGUGCCGCCUGGGGAGUACGGUCGCAAGAUUAAAACUCAAAGAAAUUGACGGGGACCCGCACAAGCGGUGGAGUAUGUGGCUUAAUUCGAUGCAACGCGAAGAACCUUACCUGGGCUUGACAUGUAAUGAACAACAUGUGAAAGCAUGCGACUCUUCGGAGGCGUUACACAGGUGCUGCAUGGCCGUCGUCAGCUCGUGUCGUGAGAUGUUUGGUUAAGUCCAGCAACGAGCGCAACCCCUGUUGCCAGUUACCAGCACGUGAAGGUGGGGACUCUGGCGAGACUGCCCAGAUCAACUGGGAGGAAGGUGGGGACGACGUCAAGUCAGUAUGGCCCUUAUGCCCAGGGCUGCACACGUACUACAAUGCCCAGUACAGAGGGGGCCGAAGCCGCGAGGCGGAGGAAAUCCUGAAAACUGGGCCCAGUUCGGACUGUAGGCUGCAACCCGCCUACACGAAGCCGGAAUCGCUAGUAAUGGCGCAUCAGCUACGGCGCCGUGAAUACGUUCCCGGGUCUUGUACACACCGCCCGUCACAUCAUGGAAGCCGGUCGCACCCGAAGUAUCUGAAGCCAACCGCAAGGAGGCAGGGUCCUAAGGUGAGACUGGUAACUGGGAUGAAGUCGUAACAAGGUAGCCGUAGGGGAACCUGCGGCUG